RNAcentral lists this ribosomal RNA (433 nucleotides) under uncultured bacterium. RNAcentral describes it as "partial 16S ribosomal RNA". It matches the Rfam family "Bacterial small subunit ribosomal RNA", at positions 29 to 507 of the family's 1533-position model. The record is from RNAcentral.
AACGAACGCUGGCGGCAUGCCUAACACAUGCAAGUCGAACGAGACCUUCGGGUCUAGUGGCGCACGGGUGCGUAACGCGUGGGAACCUGCCCUUAGGUUCGGAAUAACUCCCCGAAAGGGGUGCUAAUACCGGAUAAUGUCUUCGGACCAAAGAUUUAUCGCCUUUGGAUGGGCCCGCGUUGGAUUAGCUAGUUGGUAGGGUAAAAGCCUACCAAGGCGACGAUCCAUAGCUGGUCUGAGAGGAGGAUCAGCCACACUGGGACUGAGACACGGCCCAGACUCCUACGGGAGGCAGCAGUGGGGAAUAUUAGACAAUGGGCGAAAGCCUGAUCCAGCAAUGCCGCGUGAGUGAUGAAGGCCUUAGGGUUGUAAAGCUCUUUUACCCGGGAUGAUAAUGACAGUACCGGGAGAAUAAGCUCCGGCUAACUCCGUG